RNAcentral lists this long non-coding RNA (1140 nucleotides) under Oncorhynchus mykiss (rainbow trout). RNAcentral describes it as "lncRNA (ENSOMYG00000057632.1)". Lineage: Eukaryota; Metazoa; Chordata; Actinopteri; Salmoniformes; Salmonidae. The record is from RNAcentral.
CAUCUUGAAUUAAUUCUGAUUCAUGUUGAAUCCAUUCUGAUUCAUGUUGAAUCCAUUCUGAUUCAUGUUGAAUUCAUUCUGAUUAAUGUUGAAUCAAUUCUGAUUCAGGUUGAAUCCAUUCUGAUUCAUGUUGACUCCAUUCUGAUUCAUGUUGACUCCAUUCUGAUUCAUGUUGAAUCCAUUCUGAUUCAUGUUGAAUCCAUUCUGAUUCAUGUUGAAUCCAAUCGGAUUCAUGUUGAAUCCAUUCUGAUUCAUGUUGAAACCAUUCUGAUUCAUGUUGAAACCAUUCUGAUUCAUGUUGAAUCCAUUCUGAUUCAUGUUGAAACCAUUCUGAUUCAUGUUGAAACCAUUCUGAUUCAUGUUGAAACCAUUCUGAUUCAUGUUGACUCCAUUCUGAUUCAUGUUGACUCCAUUCUGAUUCAUGUUGACUCCAUUCUGAUUCAUGUUGAAUCCAUUCUGAUUCAUGUUGACUCCAUUCUGAUUCAUGUUGAAUCCAUUCUGAUUCAUGUUGAAACCAUUCUGAUUCAUGUUGAAACCAUUCUGAUUCAUGUUGAAACCAUUCUGAUUCAUGUUGAAACCAUUCUGAUUCAUGUUGACUCCAUUCUGAUUCAUGUUGACUCCAUUCUGAUUCAUGUUGACUCCAUUCUGAUUCAUGUUGAAUCCAUUCUGAUUCAUGUUGACUCCAUUCUGAUUCAUGUUGAAUCCAUUCUGAUUCAUGUUGAAACCAUUCUGAUUCAUGUUGAAACCAUUCUGAUUCAUGUUGACUCCAUUCUGAUUCAUGUUGAAUCCAUUCUGAUUCAUGUUGACUCCAUUCUGAUUCAUGUUGACUCCAUUCUGAUUCAUGUUGAAUCCAUUCUGAUCCAUGUUGAAACCAUUCUGAUUCAUGUUGAAACCAUUCUGAUUCAUGUUGACUCCAUUCUGAUUCAUGUUGAAUCCAUUCUGAUUCAUGUUGAAUCCAUUCUGAUUCAUGUUGAAACCAUUCUGAUUCAUGUUGAAACCAUUCUGAUUCAUGUUGAAACAAUUCUGAUUCAUGUUGAAACCAUUCUGAUUCAUGUUGACUCCAUUCUGAUUCAUGUUGACUCUAUUCUGAUUCAUGUUGAAUCAGGUGUGUUUAGCUCUGGAUCAAAUCAAAUCCUUUGA